Molecule: ribosomal RNA, 228 nt
Filed under: Triticum aestivum (bread wheat)
Lineage: Eukaryota; Viridiplantae; Streptophyta; Magnoliopsida; Poales; Poaceae
Description: partial small subunit ribosomal RNA
Source: RNAcentral
AUGGCUACACAAACCGUUGAAGAUAGUUCUAAACCUAGGCCAAAACGAACUGGUGCAAGUAGUUUACUGAAACCCUUGAAUUCAGAAUAUGGGAAAGUCGCCCCGGGUUGGGGGACUACUACAAAAGGAUUCAUUUUUUUCGUGUCACAGCUGAUUACUUCUUUUUUCCUUUUUAAAGAGUGGCAUCCUAUGUCCAAUAUCUCGAUCGAAGGACGGAGGUCAGAAUAA